AACUUUUGACAAUGGAUCACUUGGCUCUCGCAUCGAUGAAGAACGCAGCGAAAUGCGAUAAGUAAUGUGAAUUGCAGAUUUUCAGUGAAUCAUCGAAUCUUUGAACGCACCUUGCGCCCCUUGGUAUUCCGAGGGGCAUGCCUGUUUGAGUGUCAUCAAAUCCUCAACCCCCUCCGAUUUGUUUCGGUGGGGGAUUGGACUUGGAGCGUGCUGGCGAAGGUCGGCUCCUCUUUAAAUGCAUCAGCGGAGAAAAUGCCUUUUGCGCCUCUGGCCGUUCAGCGUGAUAAUGACGUUGCGCUGCGGUCGAGCUCAAGGUCCGCUUCCAAAGGUCCUCGGACGAACGUAACAUGACUUUUGACCUCAAAUCAGGUAGGACUACCCGCUGAACUUAAGCAUAUCAAUAAGCGGAGGCU
Molecule: unclassified non-coding RNA, 413 nt
Filed under: uncultured Tylospora
Lineage: Eukaryota; Fungi; Basidiomycota; Agaricomycetes; Atheliales; Atheliaceae
Description: sequence contains ITS2
Rfam family: 5.8S ribosomal RNA (bases 1-155)
Source: RNAcentral